AUGAGUGUCCCCCUCCUAUGCUGGGGAGUCUGGGGUCUCCUGCAGGCAGGUGUGGUGAAGGCUGGGGUCUCUCAAAACCCUAGAUUCCAGAUCCUGAUGAAAACACUGCGUUGGAACCUGAGUUGUGUCCAGGAUAUGAAACACGACUACAUGUACUGGUAUCGCCAGGACCCAGGAUUCAGGCUGAGGCUGAUCUAUUACUCCCUUGAUGUCAAUAAUACAGACAGAGGAGACAUCCACCAUGGGUACAUCGUCUCCAGACCAAGUACGGAGAACUUCCUGCUCACGCUGGAGUCUGCCACCCCCAACCAGACAUCUGUGUACUUCUGUGCCAGCAGUGAUGCACAGUGCUGCAGGCUCACCUCCUCUCUGCACAAGAAGGCAGAGGGGUCUGGACCCUGGGUCUCAGCAGAGCCCUUUGCAAACUUUUAG
Talpa occidentalis (Iberian mole) is the source of this 432-nucleotide non-coding RNA. Lineage: Eukaryota; Metazoa; Chordata; Mammalia; Eulipotyphla; Talpidae. The record is from the annotation of a RefSeq genome assembly.